Molecule: non-coding RNA, 362 nt
Organism: Pimephales promelas (fathead minnow)
Lineage: Eukaryota; Metazoa; Chordata; Actinopteri; Cypriniformes; Leuciscidae
Source: RefSeq, a predicted model, not a curated record
CCAUUGUCCCGGAGUGAUAAUCCUAGGAACGGGUCAUAGCUUUAAAAUAAGUUUUAGAUUCAUGCUUUAAUAAUGAUAUUUUUAUUCAAGUAGGUUAUAAUUCUAAUUUAUGUUUGUAAAUAUAUGACUUGAUGCGUUUUAACGGGCAUGCGCGUGAAGUUGAGUUGCCAUGGAAACGGAGGGUCACCAGUGCAGACAGCAAACUCCGACUCUCCCUGUUUUCACUGCUUUCAGAUCGUUCCAUGCUGAUGCCCUGCUCAGUAGCAGAGUUGAACUGGCCAUCAUCUGAACCUGGCAACCGGACACGCAAACACACACGCUCUUUUUUGAUAAUGAAAAUAAAAUUAUUUUGUUUCCUAAUA